RNAcentral lists this ribosomal RNA (1233 nucleotides) under Halomonas sp. Its description in RNAcentral is "bacterial SSU rRNA". Lineage: Bacteria; Pseudomonadati; Pseudomonadota; Gammaproteobacteria; Oceanospirillales; Halomonadaceae. The record is from RNAcentral.
CCAGGCUAAUACCGCAUACGUCCUACGGUGAGAAAGGGGGCUUCGGCUCCCGCUAUUGGAUGAGCCUAUGUCGGAUUAGCUAGUUGGUGAGGUAACGGCUCACCAAGGCGACGAUCCGUAGCUGGUCUGAGAGGAUGAUCAGCCACAUCGGGACUGAGACACGGCCCGAACUCCUACGGGAGGCAGCAGUGGGGAAUAUUGGACAAUGGGGGCAACCCUGAUCCAGCCAUGCCGCGUGUGUGAAGAAGGCCCUCGGGUUGUAAAGCACUUUCAGCGAGGAAGAACGCCUGUCGGUUAAUACCCGGCAGGAAAGACAUCAMUCGCAGAAGAAGCACCGGCUAACUCCGUGCCAGCAGCCGCGGUAAUACGGAGGGUGCAAGCGUUAAUCGGAAUUACUGGGCGUAAAGCGCGCGUAGGUGGCUUGAUAAGCCGGUUGUGAAAGCCCCGGGCUCAACCUGGGAACGGCAUCCGGAACUGUCAGGCUAGAGUGCAGGAGAGGAAGGUAGAAUUCCCGGUGUAGCGGUGAAAUGCGUAGAGAUCGGGAGGAAUACCAGUGGCGAAGGCGGCCUUCUGGACUGACACUGACACUGAGGUGCGAAAGCGUGGGUAGCAAACAGGAUUAGAUACCCUGGUAGUCCACGCCGUAAACGAUGUCGACCAGCCGUUGGGUGCCUAGAGCACUUUGUGGCGAAGUUAACGCGAUAAGUCGACCGCCUGGGGAGUACGGCCGCAAGGUUAAAACUCAAAUGAAUUGACGGGGGCCCGCACAAGCGGUGGAGCAUGUGGUUUAAUUCGAUGCAACGCGAAGAACCUUACCUACCCUUGACAUCUACAGAAGCCGGAAGAGAUUCUGGUGUGCCUUCGGGAACUGUAAGACAGGUGCUGCAUGGCUGUCGUCAGCUCGUGUUGUGAAAUGUUGGGUUAAGUCCCGUAACGAGCGCAACCCUUGUCCUUAUUUGCCAGCACGUAAUGGUGGGAACUCUAAGGAGACUGCCGGUGACAAACCGGAGGAAGGUGGGGACGACGUCAAGUCAUCAUGGCCCUUACGGGUAGGGCUACACACGUGCUACAAUGGCCGGUACAAAGGGCUGCGAGCUCGCGAGAGUCAGCGAAUCCCUUAAAGCCGGUCUCAGUCCGGAUCGGAGUCUGCAACUCGACUCCGUGAAGUCGGAAUCGCUAGUAAUCGUGAAUCAGAAUGUCACGGUGAAUACGUUCCCGGGCCUUGUACACACC